Long non-coding RNA from Pan troglodytes (chimpanzee), 688 nucleotides. RefSeq lists it as uncharacterized. The record is from RefSeq and is a predicted model, not a curated record. Lineage: Eukaryota; Metazoa; Chordata; Mammalia; Primates; Hominidae. The transcript has 3 exons.
AAGCUGUGCAGCGCCGCUCCCCCGACCGACUCCUUGAGAAGAAACGGCGGAGACCUGAGACCGGGAGGCCGAGGCUGUAGGUGGGCUCCGCUGGGUAAAAGUUGCCGCAGCAGCUGUCCCUUGGCCCCAUCCCGAUUUAUCUUUCCCCCUUGCUUUCCGGGUCCCGGGAUCCCAAGUUUUGUAACUAACGGGAGCGAAUCCACACCCGAGCAAAAUGUUUGCGAGUUUCAGGCGCCCUUAGUUGAAAGGCUGUAACGUAAUUAACAAGUCCGCUGUUUGCCAGCCAGGCGCCGUUGCAGGCGCUUUCUGUGGAUUGUCAUUUAUUUCUCACAGCAACUCUAGGAGGCUGUUAUCCUUGACAUCUGCAGCAGCCCUUCCAAGCUGUGGAGACCAGGUCAUCUGGAAUGCCCAUUUAUGUCAAUGGAAGAAAGAAAAAGGGGUCUCCUCCCAUCCUCACCACUGCAUUCUUUCUCCCACCAACCCUGCUCCUGUCCCACUUCCCACAACUCAGUUGUUGACAAUUGAACAGUGGGUUUCUGGAAACAGUGCUGCCUCCUUGAUGGUCUAACUACCAGAGUUAUUCUAACAGCAGGAAUUUCAAGCCAGCAAACCAGACAUACAUAGGAGGCACAGCAAAAGACCCAAGGUGAGGGGCUUCCCUCACCUUCACCCUUGUUCUCACGUGGAG